Molecule: long non-coding RNA, 2277 nt
Filed under: Gossypium barbadense (sea-island cotton)
Lineage: Eukaryota; Viridiplantae; Streptophyta; Magnoliopsida; Malvales; Malvaceae
Description: long non-coding RNA (GBAR_LNC019024)
Source: RNAcentral
AAAGAAAGAAAACACCCAUGGCAUUUAGGGUUGCGGCACUUUACUAGCUUGAUUAAGGUAUGAAAUUAUUUCUGUUUUUGAUAAUUUUUACGUUUUUGAGAUCGUUGCUUUGAAUACUUCGAAACCCAUGUAUUAAUUUUGUGAAUUGUUGAUGAUUUUGAAAUGUGCCAUUGAUGAAUGUUUGAGUUUUGUCAUGUUAGUUGAUGAAAUAUGAAAUAUAUGUAUUAGAUUAACAUGUUUUGUCUUUAAAUUUUUAGUGAAUUUGUGUAAUUAGAGUUAAAUUGUGAAAAUAAAUUUUUGAAGGACUAAAAUAUGAAAUAAAUGCAAUGUGUGGACUUGUAUGAGAACCAUGAAUAUUCGGCUCUUGUGUGGUAUGGGCAAAUUUUGUGUAUUUUGUGUUUUGUGCAAAAAGGACUAAAUUGCAAAAAGUGCAAAAUAUUAGGGGCAAAAUGGUAAUUUUCCCAUUUAUGUAUUUUUGGACUUAAUUGAAUGUUUUUAUGAAUAAAAAGGUUAAAUUUGAUUAUGUUUAGAUCAAGAAACGAAGAAAACGAAUUUGGAUCGGGGAAAAACGAAAGUAAUCGAAUAGUCGAUCGUGUCUGCUAAUAUCCGAGGUAAGUCUAUUAGCAACUAAAAAUUAUUAAGUUAAUAUUUAUACAUGCAUAUUAAUUGUAUUUUAUGUUAAGUUAUAAUUGAAAGUAUAUUAGUUGAAUAAAUUUUGAAGUGUAGAUUUUAUAUAUAUAAUAAUCGAAUAUACAAGUAUGAUCUUGUAUAAAUUCAUGGUUUGAAAUGAAGAUAUGAAAUGUAAUCAAGAAUAGGUGAUGUUCGAAUAAGCAUGAAUAUAUAUAUAAAUUUAUUUUCUUGAAAUUAGGUAAGAAAGUUAUAUAUAUAUACAUAAGAUAGAUCAAAUUUAUAUAUGUGAAUACAUGAUUAAGUCUUGAAUUUAGACAAAGAUAUGUAUAUAUAUUAUGUAUAAUACUCGAAUAUAUAUAUACGUAUAUACAAGUAUAAACUCUUGGAUUGGAUUAAAAAUAUGUAACUUAUAAUUGUAUAUGUAUAGUUUCGAAUAGGUAUAUACAUAUAUAUAUAUGUGAGUUAUAAUUUAUUUGUAUAUGCUGUACUCGAAUGAGCAUGUUUACAUAUAUAUAUGUCCUUUUAUUGAAUUUAAUUAGGACAUUUAUAUAAGCUUAUAUGAAGUUUCGAUUAUGUAUGUAUGUUCAUGUAAAAGUUCUUAAAUGGAAGUGAAGAUAUGAAUUUAUCAAUUUGGAUCAUUAUAAAGUGAUCGAAUGUAAUACAGACUUUACGUCUAGCAGGCUUGAUGCCGAUGAAGUAAUUCAGACUUUACGUCUAGCAGGCUUAAUGCCGGUGAUACAUUUCGGACUAUAGGUCUAGCAGGCUAAAAGCCGGUGUACUGAAUCAGGUUUUAAAACCUAGCAGGCUAAGUGCCGGUGAAUCUAUUAAAUUAUGUGAAAAUAUGAAAUUGUUAUAUCUAUGAUUUUGGUUAUAUGAAAUCGAUGAAUACAUAAACAUUAGGUUUUUAUAUGCUUGGUGAGUACACAUCUACAUUCCGGUUUUGCUUUGGUUAAACAUAAUUGUAUGCAUUUGGUGGAUACAAAUAAUAAAGGCAUAUGUACAUUAGGUAUAUGCGGUUGUUAAAUACAUAUAAGUCGAGCCUAUGUGUUUGAUAAUUAUUUAUGUAUGCAAUUGGGAUAUAUAUAUAAAUGUACUCAUUUAAAUGUAUAUGAUGAAUAUGUAUAUAUAUAUUCGAAUGUAUGUAUUAGUUAUGUAUUCGAAUAUGUAUAUAUAUUCGAAUGUAGGUAUUAGCUAUGUAUUUAGGUAUAAAUUCAAAUGAGUCUAUAUAUAUAUAAACGAAUAUAAUAGGUGAUUGGUAUAUAUGAGUAUGAUCAAUUUUAUGCACAUGAUAAGUACAUAUGUGAAUUCGAAAGUGUGCAAGUAAUAAAGUGUAUAUACAUUCGGUUUUAAUUGUUGAUAAUUAUGUAUGCAUUUGUCUAUAAGUAAUUGUUAAUAUAUAUAUUUGUUGUUAUGCUAUAGACUUACUAAGCUAUAAAAGCUUACUUUGUUUGUUUUCGUCCAUUUGAUUUUAUAGAUUUUGGAGACGCGUUACGAGCUCGAGGAUCAUCAGCAUAGUCCAUCACACUAUCGACUUCUUUUGGUAUUUUGUUAAAUAUUUGAACUUAAUCUUAUGGCAUGUAUAUGUUUGAGUACGAUGUUAAUUACAUUUUGAUUGUAAAUUAUAAUAGCUAUGCGAAAGUAAUUAAA